Molecule: ribosomal RNA, 578 nt
Filed under: uncultured bacterium
Lineage: Bacteria
Description: bacterial SSU rRNA
Rfam family: Bacterial small subunit ribosomal RNA
Source: RNAcentral
CCUACGGGAGGCAGCAGUAAGGAAUAUUGGACAAUGGACGCAAGUCUGAUCCAGCCAUGCCGCGUGAAGGAUUAAGGUCCUCUGGAUUGUAAACUUCUUUUAUAAGGGACGAAAAAAGGUCUUUCUAGAUCGUCUGACGGUACCUUAUGAAUAAGCACCGGCUAACUCCGUGCCAGCAGCCGCGGUAAUACGGAGGGUGCAAGCGUUAUCCGGAUUCACUGGGUUUAAAGGGUGCGUAGGCGGGCAGGUAAGUCAGUGGUGAAAUCCUAGAGCUUAACUCUAGAACUGCCAUUGAUACUAUCUGUCUUGAAUAUUGUGGAGGUAAGCGGAAUAUGUCAUGUAGCGGUGAAAUGCUUAGAUAUGACAUAGAACACCUAUUGCGAAGGCAGCUUACUACGCAUAUAUUGACGCUGAGGCACGAAAGCGUGGGGAUCAAACAGGAUUAGAUACCCUGGUAGUCCACGCCCUAAACGAUGGAUACUCGACAUACGCGAUACACUGUGUGUGUCUGAGCGAAAGCAUUAAGUAUCCCACCUGGGAAGUACGACCGCAAGGUUGAAACUCAAAUGAAUUGACGG